UACGGAGGGGACUAGCGUUGUUCGGAAUUACUGGGCGUAAAGCGCACGUAGGCGGAUUUGUAAGUCAGGGGUGAAAUCCUGGAGCUCAACUCCAGAACUGCCUUUGAUACUGAGGAUCUUGAGUUCGGGAGAGGUGAGUGGAACUGCGAGUGUAGAGGUGAAAUUCGUAGAUAUUCGCAAGAACACCAGUGGCGAAGGCGGCUCACUGGCCCGAUACUGACGCUGAGGCACGAAAGCGUGGGGAGCAAACAGG
Molecule: ribosomal RNA, 253 nt
Filed under: uncultured bacterium
Lineage: Bacteria
Description: partial 16S ribosomal RNA
Rfam family: Bacterial small subunit ribosomal RNA
Source: RNAcentral